This is a small nucleolar RNA of Synchiropus splendidus (mandarinfish), 149 nucleotides long. NCBI's taxonomy places the organism in Eukaryota, Metazoa, Chordata, Actinopteri, Syngnathiformes, Callionymidae. The record is from RefSeq and is a predicted model, not a curated record.
CUUCAGUGAAGAAACGAUGACGAGUCAGAGCAGAGCCCAAGUCCAGUCCCGUGGAUUCUGGUUCAGGCCCACGUUCUGUGGUUCUGCUCCAGUUCCUCGGACCGGCGGGUUCUUUCUCUUGAUGACACCGAGGCAUUUGUCUGAGAAGG